RNAcentral lists this ribosomal RNA (442 nucleotides) under uncultured bacterium. RNAcentral describes it as "partial 16S ribosomal RNA". It matches the Rfam family "Bacterial small subunit ribosomal RNA", at positions 338 to 795 of the family's 1533-position model. The record is from RNAcentral.
CCUACGGGAGGCAGCAGUGAGGAAUAUUGGGCAAUGGACGAAAGCCUGACCCAGCAAAGUAGCGUGAAGGAAGAAUGCUUUAGGGUUGUUAACUUCUUUUGACAUGGGAGAGAAGCAGACGGUACCUGUCGAAUAAGCCAUGGCUAACUACGUGCCAGCAGCCGCGGUAAUACGUAGGUGGCCAGCGUUAUCCGGAUUUACUGGGUGUAAAGGGCGUGUAGCCGGGCUGACAAGUCAGAUGUGAAAUCCGGGGGCUCAACCCUCGAACUGCAUUUGAAACUGUUGGUCUUGAGUAUCGGAGAGGCAGGCGGAAUUCGUAGUGUAGCGGUGAAAUGCGUAGAUAUUAGGAGGAACACCAGUGGCGAAGGCGGCCUGCUGGACGACAACUGACGGUGAGGCGCGAAAGCGUGGGGAGCAAACAGGAGUAGAUACCCCUGUAGUC